GUCCGGCUAACUUCGUGCCAGCAGCCGCGGUAAUACGAAGGGACCUAGCGUAGUUCGGAAUUACUGGGCUUAAAGAGUUCGUAGGUGGUUGAAAAAGUUGGUGGUGAAAUCCCAGAGCUUAACUCUGGAACUGCCAUCAAAACUUUUCAGCUAGAGUAUGAUAGAGGAAAGCAGAAUUUCUAGUGUAGAGGUGAAAUUCGUAGAUAUUAGAAAGAAUACCAAUUGCGAAGGCAGCUUUCUGGAUCAUUACUGACACUGAGGAACGAAAGCAUGGGUAGCGAAGAGGAUUAGAUACCCUCGUAGUCCAUGCCGUAAACGAUGUGUGUUAGACGUUGGAAAUUCAUUUUCAGUGUCGCAGCGAAAGCGAUAAACACACCGCCUGGGGAGUACGACCGCAAGGUUAAAACUCAAAUGAAUUGACGGGGACCCGCACAAGUAGUGGAGCAUGUGGUUUAAUUCGAAGAUACGCGCAGAACCUUACCAACACUUGACAUGUUCGUCGCGACUUUAAGAGAUUAAAGUUUUCGGUUCGGCCGGACGAAACACAGGUGCUGCAUGGCUGUCGUCAGCUCGUGUCGUGAGAUGUUGGGUUAAGUCCCGCAACGAGCGCAACCCUCACUUUUAGUUGCCAUCAUUAAGUUGGGCACUCUGAAAGAACUGCCAGUGAUAAGCUGGAGGAAGGUGGGGAUGACGUCAAGUCCUCAUGGCCCUUACGUGUUGGGCUACACACGUGCUACAAUGGUAUCUACAACAGGAAGCAAAACCGCGAGGUUAAGCAAAUCCUCAAAAGAUACCUCAGUUCGGAUUGCACUCUGCAACUCGAGUGCAUGAAGCUGGAAUUACUAGUAAUCGUGGAUCAGCGUGCCACGGUGAAUGCGUUCCCGGGUCUUGUACACACCGCCCGUCACACCAUGGGAGUUGGUUCUACCUUAAGGCAAGGUUUAAAAUCCUUGACCACGGUAUAGUCAGCGACUGGGGUGAAGUCGUAACAAGGUAGCCGUAGGGGAACCUGCGGCUG
This 1018-nucleotide ribosomal RNA is filed under the name marine metagenome. RNAcentral describes it as "bacterial SSU rRNA". It matches the Rfam family "Bacterial small subunit ribosomal RNA", at positions 491 to 1520 of the family's 1533-position model. The record is from RNAcentral.